CGGGGCUUAAAGUCUUGUAAUUGGAAUGAUGGGAAUUUAAACCUCUUCCAGAGUAUCAAUUGGAGGGCAAGUCUGGUGCCAGCAGCCGCGGUAAUUCCAGCUCCAAUAGCGUAUAUUAAAAUUGUUGCAGUUAAAAAGCUCGUAGUUGAAUUUCUGCUGCAUUUCUUGUGUCCCUCUGGGGUCUGUGCAUGUGGCUUUUUUCGGACGGAGUUUCUUUGUCUGAAUGUUUACUUUGAGAAAAUUAGAGUGCUCAAAGCAGGCUUUCGCCUUGAAUAGUUUAGCAUGGAAUAAUAAAGUAGGACUUUGGUUCUAUUUUGUUGGUUUUAGGUACCAAAGUAAUGGUUAAUAGGAACAGUUGGGGGCAUUCGUAUUUAACUGUCAGAGGUGAAAUUCUUAGAUUUGUUAAAGACGAACUACUGCGAAAGCAUUUGCCAAGGAUGUUUUCAUUAAUCAAGAAC
This 458-nucleotide ribosomal RNA is filed under the name Theileria annulata. Its description in RNAcentral is "SSU rRNA". It matches the Rfam family "Eukaryotic small subunit ribosomal RNA", at positions 486 to 984 of the family's 1831-position model. The record is from RNAcentral. Lineage: Eukaryota; Apicomplexa; Aconoidasida; Piroplasmida; Theileriidae.